GAACGUCUGAGAUUUCAUUUUCGUCGCUGCCAGCUUCCAAAAGUAGAACUGUCCAAUUCGACACCUCGGAUAGCCUCGAUGCGACCACUGCACCUGCGCUCCCACCUCCGACCACUAUGAAAUCACGAAAUUUGAAGUUUGAAAGAAAAGUAAUUCUGAAAUGUGGGCUGUGGAAAAGUUGGCACAACGAAGGAUCUAUACUCUGUUGUAUCGACCACAGAGUAAAUUUUCAACCAACCUGGCGAGCAUUAGUCGGGUGAGACUCUGGAUCCGCUUGAUUGUAUCGGAACACGGUCAGGCUGAUCGCUAAGAGGGGAAUCAGGCUGAAUCCGAGGAUCGAAGUAGUACUAAGC
Molecule: long non-coding RNA, 353 nt
Organism: Hylaeus volcanicus
Lineage: Eukaryota; Metazoa; Arthropoda; Insecta; Hymenoptera; Colletidae
Exons: 3
Source: RefSeq, a predicted model, not a curated record